Molecule: ribosomal RNA, 274 nt
Filed under: uncultured bacterium
Lineage: Bacteria
Description: partial 16S ribosomal RNA
Rfam family: Bacterial small subunit ribosomal RNA
Source: RNAcentral
AUACGGAGGGUGCAAGCGUUACUCGGAAUCACUGGGCGUAAAGCGCGCGCAGGCGGCUAUUUAAGUUGGAUGUGAAAGCCUACGGCUCAACCGUAGAACUGCAUCCAAAACUAUUUAGCUAGAGUGUGGGAGAGGAAGAUGGAAUUGGUUGUGUAGGGGUAAAAUCCGUAGAGAUAACUAGGAAUACCAAAAGCGAAGGCAAUCUUCUGGAACACUACUGACGCUGAGGCGCGAAAGCGUGGGGAGCAAACGGGAUUAGAAACCCUAGUAGUCC